AUUGCCUCAGUAACGGCGAGUGAAGCGGCAACAGCUCAAAUUUGAAAUCUGGCUCCUUCGGGGUCCGAGUUGUAAUUUGCAGAGGAUGCUUCGGGUACGGGUUCCUUCCGAGUUCCCUGGAACGGGACGCCAUAGAGGGUGAGAGCCCCGUCUGGUAGGACACCCAGCCCGUGUGAAGCUCCCUCGACGAGUCGAGUAGUUUGGGAAUGCUGCUCUAACGGGAGGUAUACUCCUUCCAAGGCUAAAUACCGGCUGGAGACCGAUAGCGCACAAGUAGAGUGAUCGAAAGAUGAAAAGCACUUUGAAAAGAGAGUCAAAUAGCACGUGAAAUUGUUGAAAGGGAAGCGCUCGCUACCAGACAUGGGUUCGGCGGUUCAACCGGGGCCACGCCCCGGGGCACUCCGCCGGCCCAGGCCAGCAUCAGCUUUCCGUCGGGGGCAAAGGCGUCGGGAAUGUGGCUCUCCUUCGGGGGAGUGUUAUAGCCCGGCGUGUCAUACCCUUCGGGGGGCUGAGGUACGCGCUUCUGCAAGGAUGCUGGCGUAAUGGUAGCUAGUGACCCGUCUUGAAACACGGACCCCUGUGUGAAAUUG
This 590-nucleotide ribosomal RNA is filed under the name Gibellulopsis nigrescens. Its description in RNAcentral is "eukaryotic LSU rRNA". It matches the Rfam family "Eukaryotic large subunit ribosomal RNA", at positions 74 to 664 of the family's 3401-position model. Lineage: Eukaryota; Fungi; Ascomycota; Sordariomycetes; Glomerellales; Plectosphaerellaceae. The record is from RNAcentral.